RNAcentral lists this transfer RNA (76 nucleotides) under Cordylochernes scorpioides. Its description in RNAcentral is "tRNA-Thr". It matches the Rfam family "tRNA". From Rfam's summary of the family: Transfer RNA (tRNA) molecules are approximately 80 nucleotides in length. Their secondary structure includes four short double-helical elements and three loops (D, anti-codon, and T loops). The record is from RNAcentral. Lineage: Eukaryota; Metazoa; Arthropoda; Arachnida; Pseudoscorpiones; Chernetidae.
GGUCAGGUGACCUAGUGGUCAUGGCAUCUGCCUGGUAAGCGGAAGGUCGUGGGUUCGAUUCCCAUCCCUUGACACU